Molecule: long non-coding RNA, 335 nt
Organism: Acromyrmex echinatior (Panamanian leafcutter ant)
Lineage: Eukaryota; Metazoa; Arthropoda; Insecta; Hymenoptera; Formicidae
Source: RefSeq, a predicted model, not a curated record
CUACAGAACUACAAGAAAAUAUUUAUUAAAAUUUAUUGCGAAACCGAAUUUGUAAAUUUAUUACAAAGGCACAGCGCCAAACGGAUCCGAAUAAGGCACACGCAAAGAACACUAAAGAUGUCGGCUCGUGAAUUAUGGGUAGUGGUGCAAUGGCUGGCGUCAAUUAUUCCAACGAUUCUGAGACUCUCUCCGAAUCUCUCGAAUUCCAAUAAAUCCACUUGCGCACGGAUAUUCCAACCUUUCGCCAGAACAGACCGCGAGAUUUCGUCAACAUGAUCCACGGAUUUCUCAAAUUUUCUUCCGAUUGUCAUUUACAAUUCAUUUUUUAACUGAUA